This 253-nucleotide ribosomal RNA is filed under the name uncultured Legionella sp. RNAcentral's name for it is "partial 16S ribosomal RNA". It matches the Rfam family "Bacterial small subunit ribosomal RNA", at positions 524 to 776 of the family's 1533-position model. Lineage: Bacteria; Pseudomonadati; Pseudomonadota; Gammaproteobacteria; Legionellales; Legionellaceae. The record is from RNAcentral.
UACGGAGGGUGCAAGCGUUAAUCGGAAUUACUGGGCGUAAAGGGUGCGUAGGUGGUUAGAUAAGUUAUCUGUAAAAUCCCUGGGCUUAACCUGGGCAGGUCAGAUAAGACUGUUUGACUCGAGUAUGGGAGAGGGUAGUGGAAUUUCCGGUGUAGCGGUGAAAUGCGUAGAGAUCGGAAGGAACACCAGUGGCGAAGGCGGCUACCUGGCCUAAUACUGACACUGAGGCACGAAAGCGUGGGGAGCAAACAGG